AACCGUUAUGUAUGAGCGCAUUUUUUGAAAAGAUAACGGUUUUGACAAAAAACCGUUAUCUAUGUACUGUUGUCCAUGGAAAUAGAUAACGGUUUUAGUGAAUCCGUUAUGUAUGAGCGUUAUCUAUUAGUUGCAUACAUAACGGUAUUAUCGAACCGUUAAGACAACUGCUAUCUAUUAGCGUCUUUUUAUAACGGUUGUUUUAACCGUUAUAUAUGAGCGCCUCAAUACUGUUAUGUAUUAGUAUUUUUUAUAUUUAUUUUUAAAUUUAAUAUUUUAUUAUAAAAUAUCAAAACCCUAACAUUCCCCACCAAAUUUUCCCAAAUCGAACUUGGCCUCUUUCUCUCUUCACCAUCGUCGCGCCCUGCCACCGCCGUCGCGACUCGCCGCCACGACCAGCGCCGCUGCCACGCCGGUCGUCUGCUCGGCCGGAUUCCACCAUCAUUUCCCCUAAAUUGGUUUCCGACCUCAGGGCUAGGGUUCCGCCGAGCAGGAUUUUGAAGAAGGCGUCGGACGACGCGGUCGUCUCCUGCCUGCGGAUUGCCACUCCCAUCGACCAGCUGCCCCGAAUCGACGCCUAGCUUGCCCAGUCGCAGCAGGUCGUCUCCAAGUAUUCCAUCCUCGGCCUCGCCCACCACCCGUAUGAUAAAGACCUCGACAAUUUCAUGGUAAUUUCACCUAUUUUUUACAAUCACUUUGGAUUUUCUAAGAAUGAGUUUGUUGUCUCCCACCCCGUGCAAUCGAUGGAGGUCUAAGCAUCCACCCACGCCGCCGGAAGCCGCCGCCACCAACCCGCUGCAAGUGUCCGACAACGCCCCUGCUUCCGCUCCACCGCCGUCGCACCGGCAUCUCUCUUUUAUCUCCGGGUUUAGGUCUCUCUCUCACACAGUUUCUAUAUAGUUUCUUCUUUAUCUAAUUGAUCUCUCUCUCUCUCUCUCUCCAACAGUGUGUGUCUUCCUUACCCCCAGCCGAUUGCAGUUGCUUCACCAUUGCGCGGUUGUCAAAUCUGGCCUUCUGAAGAUUCUCUCAAAAAUGGGCAUCUCAAUGCUCUCCAGGUUCUCACGGAUCUAUUUGAAAUUAAAAGGGAUCGUUCUCCAAUCCCACUUGGAAAGGUUGAGCCUACUACCUCUAUUGUUCAGCGAUUUUGUACUGGUGGCAUGUCACUUGGUGCAAUAUCUUGUGUUAGAUUUCUGAAAAUUUGCAGCUUUUCUUUGUGUGUGUGGAUGAACUUGAAUUUGGUGUGAAUGAAUUUGAAAUUGGUGUUGUUGUUGAGGCUAUUGUAGCUAUGGCAUCUUGUAUUCCAUGUGCAGCAGCUAAGGUGGUUACUUAAAUCUUCUCUUGAUUUUGAAGUAUAUUAUUUAAGGCAAGAGAGAGAAUGCUCUUAUCUUUUCAUAGUGAAAAUAUAGCUGAACUGAGUACUUAUUAACUUCUGCAGUAAUAGUCAAUGCUAAAAGCUCAUACCACCAAGUCCUGCUAUCUUUUAUUUUUCACCAGUCUCUCUCUAUAAUCAUUUGUAGCGGAUGCUUCUUUAAUUGACAUUGCCAUAGCAACAGUGGCUUUGGGUCUUUCAGAAAAUUGGGGCCACAGUUGUUUUGCAUCUGCAGGUAUAGUUAGAUAACACUAAUGUGUAUUCCGUGUUUGAUACCUUGAGUCGAUAUGUCAAUGUCCUGAUUUUAGAAGUUUCUGUGACUUUUUUAUCCACAGCAGCAGUCAGGAAAUUAUUUCUUCAGUUUAUUAUCUCUUUGAAAUGCUUACAUGGAUGUACGUGCAACAUCAUAUGCUGAUUGCCAUGGAUGGAACUAGCCGACUAGCUUCCCUGCAGUUUCUUGCUGGUAAAUCAUGCAAAUUCGGUUGCUGGCUUAAUGGUAUGUAGCAUCUCCUUAUAUGAUAGGUUGAUAUGGGCAUCAUCUUUUUGGCCACAGUAACUUGUUCCGGUCAUUGCUUCGUUCUGUUAUAUUGUUCUGCAAACUAGAACGCUGGCAUUUUCUUUAAUUUGUAUGAACAUUUAGCUAGUUUUGCUUCGUGAUAGCAUCUGACAUUCUGGGCAGAACAUUUGAUGCAGAUGCACAAACAAUUCUAGCUCGCGAAGGAAAUAUUGAUUUAUCAUUUUUCCAAAGGUCAUUACAGGGGUGGAAGUCUAAAAUAGUGGAGGUCUAAUCGUUGCUUGGCUAUUGCAACCAGUGGAGGUCUAAACCAGCAAAGGACCGGGGUGGAAGUCUAAAAUAGUGGAGGUCUAAUCAUUCUUUCACUUAUUAAUUGAUUUUUUUCUAUGGGAGUAUCAUGAUGCUCUACAUUGUGAUUCUUGGUUGGCUCUUUGUAUGAUUUUGUGGCAGGUUUGUGGUGGAUUAAAUGAGUCGUACGUUGAGCUGGAGAUACUUGUGAAUUCACAAGAAAAUUGUACCGGAUGGCUAGCUAGUUGCAUAUUUAAUAUGUUUAAUAUUUUUGUAAGGCAUAAUAGUAUAGAUAGAGCAGUUGUUGAAUUUUGACUAUAUUCAAAUCUUGUAUGAAUUCUUUUUUAUGAUAAUAAUAUAAAAUUAAA
Salvia miltiorrhiza (redroot sage) is the source of this 2539-nucleotide long non-coding RNA. RefSeq lists it as uncharacterized. Lineage: Eukaryota; Viridiplantae; Streptophyta; Magnoliopsida; Lamiales; Lamiaceae. The record is from RefSeq and is a predicted model, not a curated record. The transcript has 4 exons.